This 253-nucleotide ribosomal RNA is filed under the name uncultured bacterium. RNAcentral describes it as "partial 16S ribosomal RNA". It matches the Rfam family "Bacterial small subunit ribosomal RNA", at positions 524 to 776 of the family's 1533-position model. The record is from RNAcentral.
UACGUAGGGGGCAAGCGUUGUCCGGAAUUAUUGGGCGUAAAGAGCGCGUAGGCGGUCCGAUAAGUCGGCUGUGAAAGUCCAGGGCUCAACCUCGAGACGCCGGUGGAAACCGUAAGGCUAGAGUCCGGAAGAGGAGACUGGAAUUCAUGGUGUAGCAGUGAAAUGCGUAGAGAUCAUGAGGAAGACCAGUGGCGAAGGCGGGUCUCUGGACAGUUCCUGACACUGAGACACGAAGGCCAGGGGAGCAAACGGG